Molecule: long non-coding RNA, 210 nt
Filed under: Lathyrus oleraceus (garden pea)
Lineage: Eukaryota; Viridiplantae; Streptophyta; Magnoliopsida; Fabales; Fabaceae
Description: Pisum sativum (pea) long non-coding RNA (PSAT_LNC019715)
Source: RNAcentral
UGAUGUUGAAGGGGAUUCCUGACGAGAUUACCCGCCUUCUUGAGUAUGAAAAGAAGAUCAUUCAGCUGUAUCCCGAGAAUCAGCAAAAUAGUCAAACUGGGGCAUUACAAAUGUAAUAAAUAAAUAAAAAAGAGGGUGAAAAACAAAAUGAAAAAAGUCAAAAAUCAAAAAAAAAAUUCAAAAAAAAGGAAAGAAAAAAGAAGUAUACCC